This 239-nucleotide ribosomal RNA is filed under the name uncultured bacterium. Its description in RNAcentral is "partial 16S ribosomal RNA". It matches the Rfam family "Bacterial small subunit ribosomal RNA", at positions 98 to 334 of the family's 1533-position model. The record is from RNAcentral.
UCGCACGGGUGAGUAACACGUAUGCAAUCCACCUGUAACAGGGGGAUAACCCGGAGAAAUCGGACUAAUACCCCAUAAUAUGGGCGCUCCGCAUGGAGAGUUCAUUAAAGAGAGCAAUUUUGGUUACAGACGAGCAUGCGCUCCAUUAGCCAGUUGGCGGGGUAACGGCCCACCAAGGCGACGAUGGAUAGGGGUUCUGAGAGGAAGGUCCCCCACAUUGGAACUGAGACACGGUCCAA